Ictalurus furcatus (blue catfish) is the source of this 2083-nucleotide long non-coding RNA. RefSeq lists it as uncharacterized. The record is from RefSeq and is a predicted model, not a curated record. The transcript has 2 exons. Lineage: Eukaryota; Metazoa; Chordata; Actinopteri; Siluriformes; Ictaluridae.
UUUCGCCCAUGGUUUCCUCUCCUGGGGGUGCGGUGGCUCAGUGGUUGUGGGUUCGAAUCCCACCACCGCCUUGUGUGUGCGUGGAGUUUGCAUGUUCUCCAUGUGCUUUGUGGAUUUUCACCGGGUACUCCGGUUUCCUCCUCCAGUCAAAAGGCAUGCAUUGUAGUAAGAAUGGCAUUCCCAAAUUGUCCGAAGUGUGUGAAUGUGUGUGUGAUUGUGCCCUGUGACAUGCUGGCCCCCUGUCCAGAGUGUCCCAAGUUCAGUAAGCAGAACAAAUGAGUUUCUUCUCUUCUUCUGUUGCCUCAGAUUCUAAGUCAGAUUGAGGUUUCGGCCUUUCACUGGGCCAUUUGAACACAUUCAGGCUCUUGGAUUUGAACCAUUCCAGUAGUUUAAAAGUAUGUUUAUGCUUGUUCUCCUGUUGAAAGGUGAACUUCAAGGCACACGGUGGCUUAGUGGUUGGCAUGUUCGCCUCACACCUGUGGGGUUGGGGGUUUGAUUCCCACAGCAGCCCUGUGCAUGUUCUCCCUGUGCUGUGGGGGUUUCCUCUGGGUACUCCAGUUUCCUUCCCCAGUCCAAAGACAUGCAUGGUAGGUGGAUUGGCAUGUCCAAAGUGUCUGUAGUGUAUGAAUUGGUGUGUCAAUGUGCCUCCCCUGGUGUACCCUGGGCAAUGUUCAGUAUCAUACUGCUGAGUGGAACCAUGAUGGUUCCACUAUGAAGUGGAACCUUGACAUGAACAGAAGAAGAAGGUGAACUUCCACCUGUAAAAGAUUUUCCUCUAGGAUUGCCCUGUAUUUGGCCCAUCCAUCUCGCCUUUCACCACUUCCUCAGUUCCAUCUGAUGAAAAGCUUUUCCUACAACAUCAUGCUUCACUGUUUACUGUUUUACUGAUUUACUCUUUUAGUGUUGGACUUUCGACAAACACAGAGCUUUGUGCCAAGGCCAAAAAGUGACACUUUAGUCUCAUCAGACAUGUGUGUGUGUGUUCGCGCGCUUUGUCCAGUCGAGACCAUUGGGACUUUUAUUUUGAAGAGAAGACGAGGUCUUUUCUGAUCGCUGUAGCUGUUUUCAGAUUUUCAUCACGUGGGCAGGCCCCACCUCAUAGACAUAUAAAUAUGGUCUCCUUUCCUGUGUUUAGUGAGGAUGGUUCGUGUAAUCCUUGUGUUAGUUGUUUAAGGAAGAAUCUGAUGGAGAUGAUCAAGCCUCAAGGUUUUCAGGCAUCAACAGGCAUUUCAAAUGUUAUUGUGUGGGAGUUGAACUAAUUAAAACACUUUUUUGGGGGGGGGGGGUUAUGUAUAUAACUUGGUGGUAUUUGUUAGACAGGGUGUGGAAAAUGUGGCUUUUGCAUAAAUAUGUAUUUUCUUGUUUUAAUGUUUAACUUCUGAUUAAAAAAUAAUCUUUUAUCAAGUUAAAUAAAAACUGUAAGAUUCCACAGUUGGGUCUGACAUUUUGUUUUAAUUGAAUAACUGUUUGAAAUUAUUCCCCUUUAAAGCAAAAGUAAAAAUGGAUAAAUGUGAGUGGUGUUUGAGUACUACAUUAUAAAGGAAUAGGUUAUGGUCAGUGGUAUGUCAAUUAAUGUAGUCACUGUUCACAUGUAAUAUAAAAAUAUUUAUCAUUAGACAUUGUUCAUGUCUAAUAUUGUUAGAUUGUUUUAGUUUAAAUUGAAUGGGGUUGAAUGCACUGUGAUAUCACUCUUGGCCAUAGACUUCACAUGAAAGUAUAGUAAUUACAAUAUCUGAAACAUCAGCCCAGCAUAAUCAAUGUUUUUCUGAUGCACAAAUGAUAUCAGCUUCAUUUAUUUUAUUUUUUUUUUUAGACAAGGUGCCAUUGCAGUGUUUAAUUUCUACAAUCCUAGAACUACAGAAGGCCUGUCAAUCAAUAAUGAAGUAAACAUUAGCUAACUACAAGUUGGUAUUUAGGGUAAUGUUAACUAAGCUGUUGGUGCCAAGUUCAAGUGUUAUGUACAGUACUGUGCUAAAGGCAGAGACCACCCUUUAUGUUUUCAAUCAAAUGGUAAUUCAGUACUUAUUGUUAGAUAUUUGGUGGGAAUAAUGUACAGUACAUUAAUAAAAGUGUUUUUACUGUU